AGCCUCAUUCUAGACGAGAAUGGGCACUGCUGAUCAUGGUAUGUGUCCCAGAAUUGUUAAUGUGGCUAAAUCAAGACACAGGUUAUGCUUCCAUCACAGUAUUAUGUGUUACAGUGGUGACAAUGAGACCUGUAACAUUU
This 140-nucleotide small nucleolar RNA is filed under the name Carlito syrichta (Philippine tarsier). Its description in RNAcentral is "Small nucleolar RNA SNORA1 (ENSTSYG00000035851.1)". It matches the Rfam family "Small nucleolar RNA SNORA1". Rfam says of the family: ACA1 is a member of the H/ACA class of snoRNA that guide the sites of modification of uridines to pseudouridines. Lineage: Eukaryota; Metazoa; Chordata; Mammalia; Primates; Tarsiidae. The record is from Rfam by way of RNAcentral.